Molecule: ribosomal RNA, 403 nt
Filed under: Pseudomonas sp.
Lineage: Bacteria; Pseudomonadati; Pseudomonadota; Gammaproteobacteria; Pseudomonadales; Pseudomonadaceae
Also listed under: 2 other names
Description: partial 16S ribosomal RNA
Rfam family: Bacterial small subunit ribosomal RNA
Source: RNAcentral
UGGGGAAUAUUGGACAAUGGGCGCAAGCCUGAUCCAGCCAUGCCGCGUGAGUGAUGAAGGCCCUAGGGUUGUAAGCUCUUUCACCGGUGAAGAUAAUGACGGUAACCGGAGAAGAAGCCCCGGCUAACUUCGUGCCAGCAGCCGCGGUAAUACGAAGGGGGCUAGCGUUGUUCGGAUUUACUGGGCGUAAAGCGCACGUAGGCGGACUUUUAAGUCAGGGGUGAAAUCCCGGGGCUCAACCCCGGAACUGCCUUUGAUACUGGAAGUCUUGAGUAUGGUAGAGGUGAGUGGAAUUCCGAGUGUAGAGGUGAAAUUCGUAGAUAUUCGGAGGAACACCAGUGGCGAAGGCGGCUCACUGGACCAUUACUGACGCUGAGGUGCGAAAGCGUGGGGAGCAAACAGG